ACCGUGAGGGAAAGGUGAAAAGAACCCCGAACAGGGGAGUGAAAUAGAACCUGAAACCAUACGCUUACAACCUGUCGGAGCGGCUUCGUGCCGUGACGGCGUGCCUAUUGAAUAAUGAGCCUACGAGUUACUAAUCACUGGCAAGGUUAAGUGCACGGAUGCACGGAGCCGAAGCGAAAGCGAGUCUGAAUAGGGCGUUUAGUCAGUGGUUGUAGACGCGAAACCUUGCGAUCUACCCUUGAGCAGGUUGAAGGUUGGGUAAAACCAACUGGAGGACCGAACGAAUAAGCGUUGAAAAGCUUCUCGAUGACUUGAGGGUAGGGGUGAAAGGCUAAUCAAGCUGGGAAAUAGCUCGUACUCCCCGAAAUGCCUUUAGGGGCAGCGUUGUAAUUAAGAGUCUACUGGAGGUAGAGCUACUGAUUGGAUGCGGGGGCUUCACCGCCUACCAAAUCCUGACAAACUCCGAAUGCCAGUAGUAUGAUUUACAGCAGUGAGCGACCGGGUGCUAAUGUCCGGUUACGAGAGUGGAACAACACAGACCAGCAACUAAGGUCCCCAAGAGUAUACUAAGUUGAUCUAACGAUGUUUUGCUGCAGAGACAGCUAGGAUGUUAGCUUGGAAGCAGCUAUUCAUUCAAAGAGUGCGUAACAGCUCACUAGUCGAGCGGCAAAGCGUGGAUAAUAAACGGGCAUCAAGUAUACCACCGAAGUUCUGGGCACGAAAGUGCGGUAGGGGAGCAUUCCAUUCCGCGUUGAAGCCGAACCGUGAGGUUUGGUGGAGUGUAUGGAAAAGCAAAUGUAGGCAUGAGUAACGAUAAUGCGGGAGAGUAACCCGCACACCGCAAGACCAAGGUUUCCUGAUCAACGCUAAUCGGAUCAGGGUUAGUCGGGUCCUAAGGGUAAGCCGAACGGUGAUCUCGAUGGAUAAUCGGUUAAUAUUCCGAUACUGACAUAUACCUCGAUGGAGAGACGAAGGAACGUAAGUGCCGCCACCUGACGGAAUAGGUGGUUAAAGGGCUUAGGUAUAGGGGCAGAUUAAGAGUUAGUCCUUGCUGAAACCUGACAGUACAGAGAGCCUACGGGCAAUUUGAUAGUGCACCCAAGUCGACUUCCGAGAAAAUCUUCUAAGUUAUAGUAUAUGUCACCCGUACCGUAAACCGACACAGGUGGUCGAGGAGAGUAUCCUAAGGUGCUCGAGUGAAUCACGGUUAAGGAACUAGGCAAAUUAACCCCGUAACUUCGGGAAAAGGGGUCCCAUCGCGAGGUGGGCGCAGCGAAGAGGUUCAGGCGACUGUUUAUCAAAAACACAGGGCUCUGCAAAUUCGAAAGAAGACGUAUAGGGCCUGACACCUGCCCGGUGCUGGAAGGUUAAGAGGGGAUGUCAUCGCAAGAGAAGCAUUGAAUCGAAGCCCCAGUAAACGGCGGCCGUAACUAUAACGGUCCUAAGGUAGCGAAAUUCCUUGUCGGGUAAGUUCCGACCUGCACGAAUGGUGUAACGAUCUGGACACUGUCUCAACCGUGAGCUCGGUGAAAUUGUAGUCCCGGUGAUGAUGCCGGGUACCCGCAACGGGACGAAAAGACCCCGUGAACCUUUACUAUAGCUUAACGCUGAAUUUGGGUACACAAUGUGUAGGAUAGGCAGGAGACUACGAAGCGGGCACGCCAGUGUUCGUGGAGUCGACGUUGAAAUACUGCCCUUUGUGUACUUGAGUUCUAACCCUCGAGAGGGGACACCGUUUGGUGGGUAGUUUGACUGGGGUGGUCGCCUCCAAAAGAGUAACGGAGGCUUCCCAAGGUACCCUCAGCACGAAUGGUAACCGUGCGUAGAGUGCAAUAGCAUAAGGGUGCUUGACUGUGAGACCAACAAGUCGAUCAGGUGCGAAAGCAGGGUAUAGUGAUCCGGUGGUUCUGCGUGGACUGGCCAUCGCUCAAAGGAUAAAAGG
RNAcentral lists this ribosomal RNA (1942 nucleotides) under human gut metagenome. RNAcentral describes it as "bacterial LSU rRNA". It matches the Rfam family "Bacterial large subunit ribosomal RNA", at positions 500 to 2463 of the family's 2925-position model. The record is from RNAcentral.